RNAcentral lists this ribosomal RNA (502 nucleotides) under uncultured bacterium. RNAcentral describes it as "partial 16S ribosomal RNA". It matches the Rfam family "Bacterial small subunit ribosomal RNA", at positions 28 to 507 of the family's 1533-position model. The record is from RNAcentral.
GACGAACGCUGGCGGCGUGCUUAACACAUGCAAGUCGAACGGUGAAGGGGUCUGCUUUUGUGGGCCCUGGAUGAGUGGCGAACGGGUGAGUAACACGUGAGUAACCUGCCCCCUUCUUCUGGAUAACCGCAUGAAAGUGUGGCUAAUACGGGAUAUUCUGGGUCUGUCGCAUGAUGGGUCUGGGAAAGAUUGCGCCUUUGGGUGUUUUUGGUGGGGGAUGGGCUCGCGGCCUAUCAGCUUGUUGGUGGGGUGAUGGCCUACCAAGGCGGUGACGGGUAGCCGGCCUGAGAGGGUGGACGGUCACACUGGGACUGAGCCACGGCCCAGACUCCUACGGGAGGCAGCAGUGGGGAAUAUUGCACAAUGGGCGCAAGCCUGAUGCAGCGACGCCGCGUGAGGGAUGGAGGCCUUCGGGUUGUAAACCUCUUUCGCCAGUGAAGCAGGCCUGCUCCUUGUGGGUGGGUUGACGGUAGCUGGAUAAGAAGCGCCGGCUAACUACGUG